Molecule: unclassified non-coding RNA, 4483 nt
Filed under: Orussus abietinus
Lineage: Eukaryota; Metazoa; Arthropoda; Insecta; Hymenoptera; Orussidae
Description: transcription initiation factor TFIID subunit 3, transcript variant X4
Source: RNAcentral
UCGAAGAAAAAGUAAAGAUGGUGUCGACUAACGGCGAUGUCUCGUAAGCUGUACUAUAGUUUACAGUUAUGAUGUUACGAUUUCAAUAAAUGAACGCAUUCACAGUGUCUAUAACAAAAUAUAAUGAGCUCGAGUAAAAUGAGGCGGUCGACUAGGUAUUUAAGGCAUUGGUGCAAAAACUGACAGUGCUAAAUAGCACAAGAUUUACCUUGAAGAGUUUUCUAUCGGACUAAAACAAAAAUGACUGCUGAGUAUAGCAGAGGAAUCUUAAAAAUGGUCGUCGCACAGAUAUGCCAAACGAUCGGUUGGCACUCUAUUAAUUCUACUCCUUUAGAGUUCAUGGUUGACCUAAUGCAGGAGUAUCUUAUGCGAGUUUCCAAACUAACGCAUCAAUAUGCAGAAGUUUUGGGACGAACAGAAGCAAACCUUGAUGACUUAGGGCUUGCUUUUCAACAUAUGAACAUAGAUAUUCAAGAGUUAGUUGAAUACGUUAGAAAUGUAGACUCGAUUCCUUGUGCUAUUGAAGUCCCAAAAUUUCCUGUGCAUCGGGACAAUCACUUAAAUUUUCUAAAACCAGGCAGUCGAGAAGUAGUUACCAGAUCGGUACACAUUCAUGAACAUCUACCAGCCAUGUAUCCAAACACAGAAGAAGAGUACACGUCCGAUAGAGGAGAGAAUCUAUCAAAUGGCACAUCAGAGACACUAACAAGCAAUGGCACCUCUGCAGGGAAUUCAAAUGCAUCUCCUCACAGAAUUUCCCCACAGGUAGUAUUUAAAAGACCAGGUGACCCUGUGUCGUUUGAGAAUCCCAUAGCAAAGCGACCGAGAGUGAUGGAAGAAGGAAGGCCACUUCGUGAAAUUCACAGCGUGAUGAUGACUACGUCUGGAUUUCUUUCACCAGCACGAGAGGGUAAGCUCCCAGAAGCUAGAACUCCUCAGCAGACUCGUUCAGAUUCUCCACCACCUAGCUCUUACCCCAUGGUUCCACCAGAAUUAAAGAGUGAUAAGAAGCCAAAGAAAGUUGUGAAGAAAGGUGCCGAAGACCGGAAGUUGGAUAAGGAAAACAAAAAGAAAAAUCGCGCGAAAGAGUUAUUUAAACCUGAUAAAAUAGAUGAUAGUAAGGUGAAGAAGUUAGCUGGCAUGAAAGAAUUGGCUAAAUUAAAACCUUUAAAGCCAGGCGGUGGUAAGACACAAGGUGCUCAACCUGGGCCAUCCAGUAGACCGGCGACGCCGAAACUUGUAACACCGAAAGCUACAGGAGGGAGUCCUAAACUGUCCAAAACUCUUCAACCCAAAAUCAGGCUUGAAAAAGUAAUAGAUCUGACAGGAAGUCCACCACAAUUUGAAAAGAAGCAAGACACCGUAGACAAACUGCCAUCGGAACCUGAUAAGCAGAAACUUAACAUUUUCAAAAAAAUAUCGAAGACUCCUCGUGAGGACAAAGAGAAAGAAGUGGCGCCAGAACACCACAAACACAAAGAACUUGAUUCUCGUGAAAGUUCACCUGAUUUAAUUAUCGAUGAAAAUGUAGAUAAGUUUGCUCAUCGAAACGACGUUGAUUCCAAACGAGAAGAGAAAAAGACGCCGCAUACUCCUGAUAUCCAGCCUGAUGCAGAGUUUCCUUCGGACGGCAUAAGAAGUCCAUCCUCCGAUGUUUACAUGUUCGACGAUAUGUCACCACCUGGAACACCUAGCACGCCAAAGACUCCCGAAGUCAGCGUACCUAUCCCCGUUGAUCAGAAAAAAAAGAAAAAGGAUAAGAGCAAGAAAAAAGAGCCAAAGCUGAAGAGUCCAAAGCAUUGUGUGAGUCCGAGAAAGGUGAAAAUUACCAACGACACGAUGGAACCAGAUUUGCCAGAUCGGCCAAAGACUCCACAGGCUCCAGAGCCCCCGAUACACAGAGAACCUCCACAUCUUCCAAGCCUACCAUAUCCGUUUUUCCCUACGUUCCCUCCGGCGCCGGGUCUAAUUCCACAUCCAAUAGGACAUCCGAUGUUCCCAAGAUUUCCCCUGCCCUUGGGAAGGGGUGGUCCAGGACCGCAUCCAGCAAUGCCCAACUUGCCUUUACCUCCACGGUUUCUCACUCCGAAUUCCAAGACCGAAGACUUUCCAAUGCCGAAAGUUAAAUCUUCGGAACGUGAGAAAUCUUUAGCACCACCACCAUCGUUGCAACCACCACCUCCUCCAUCGUCACCGUCUCCACCACCUCCGCCUCCACCUCCACCGCAAUCUCUGCCACCUCCACCACCGCCACCACCGCUGCCUUUAACGUUACCGGCGGAUAUUGUGGUUACACCUGUCAAACACGAAAAACAGGAUAAGGAAAGAUCUGAGAAAAUUGGGAAGACUGUCAGUAAACAGGAGAAAGAAGCGUCCGUGCACGCUCCUGGACCUAUCGUUGCACCACCCGUUGUCUCUGCACCAGCUGCACUGGUCGUACCCCCUGCACCCGUGACUGCCGUGCCAUUGUUACCUCCGAAAGUCCCCAAGAUCGACAAACUAGCCAAGAUUGACAAGAAAUCGAAGGAACAUAAGAAAGAGAAAAAAGAUAAACUGAAGAAGAAGAAGGACAAAAAGGAGAAGCACAAAGAGAAGGGUGAAAAGAUUAAGGAGAAGAAAGAAAAAAGCGAGAAGAAGGAGAAGAUUGAAAAAAUUAAGGAGAAGAAAGAGAAAAAAGAAAAGCGAAAGGAGAAGGAUAUUAAUAACAAAAUAGCGAAAGAAGAAAAGACCAUGGAAGGUGUUCCAAAGAUUACGUUAAAAUUGGGACCUUCGUCUCCGAGGCCACCCACUCCUGAUAAUGCCCCCAUGAAGAAAAUUACCAUCAAGCCAGUAUUUAAGAAGACCGAGGAAGACGCGUCAAAAAGGGAGCCCAGUCCGGAGCUGGCAAAAAUUUCGGCUCUGGUAACGCGACCGCCUAAGCAGAAGUCAGCAAGUAAGAGACCGGAGGAUGGGACGUUAGACGCAAGCCCUGCUUUUCCCUCGGAAACUUCUUUCUCGAACAACCUCGCCUGCGUUUCAAUUCCAAACGCUCCCAGAACCAAGAAAGCCCUCUUUAAACCCCUUCCUCAGAGAGAUCCGUCGCCUCAAACGCACUACAACGAUCAUCCCGUGACGAAUGUUACCCUUUCCUCUCCCCCGAGUCCUCAAGUGCCGCAGCAACGAGCAGCGUAUUACUUUGAUCAGGUAGGCCGACAAGUUUGGAUAUGUCCUGCCUGCGGGAACCAGGAUGAUGGAUCACCAAUGAUUGGCUGUGAUGAUUGCGAUGCAUGGUAUCACUGGGUUUGCGUUGGAAUGCAAGUUCCACCCGCUACCAAUGAAGAUUGGUAUUGUCGCUCUUGUAUCGCUAAACAACAAGAACUUCACCAUGACAAGAAGAAAAAGAAACGUAAGAAGAAAGUAAAGGUAACGGCCUAGUACAAGCCAACCGGACCCGGGGUGAGGUCCGGUAUAUCGACGCAAGCUGCCACUAAAGUCAAAUUAAAAGGCAGCAAAUUAAACGUUAAAGGAGUCAAGCCUGGUAAGAAGGUGUCAAAGAAAGAAUUGAAAAUGCAGAUGAAGACGUUAAAGGUGAAACCUGGCAAAACGAAAGGAAAAAACAAGAAAGGUGUUCUCAAAAUGAAACCCAGCAAGAAGAGUAAAAAAUUGAAGGAAGGCGCACCUCAUUGAGAGCGAAGAAUUAAAAUCUAAAAAACGUGUCUCGCUUAUGUUUAAGAUUAUUCAAAUUGGUAUCGAUUGUUCAUAAGAAGCGUCGAUUCAUCGUGUAUAGGAAAAGAAUAGAAGUAAGUCAGUUUUGCACUAGGUUCGAUGAGAAUGAAAAACAGCGGUCUACAAAAAAAUAAAAAUAUUAAUUUAUAAUUGGUAUAACGUUCACGUGUUGUAUAGUAAGUACGAAAUGACCCAUACAUAAAUUUUCUAUAGAGCCUGUUACUCGAGUAGAAUGGUUAAAAAUUUGUAUGAAAUAGAAUUUGAAUAAGUUUGUACAGUUUUCUUGUUAAACCAAGUGAACAUCAAAUUUUGUAUGGGUUUAAACGAAGUUUCAAACUUCAGUAAAUGUAUGCGUGAUGUUUCUUAUUUUUUAAGAUUCAUUAAUUUACGUUGAUUUUUGUAAAAAGUUUUUAAUCGAGACAUUGGAAUUAAGGUGACCAUGUAUACUUGAAUGUAGCGUGUACGUGUUGGAAAAAUGUCGAAAGCAAUGAAAAAUAACAAUAGGCAUAGGAACUGAUUUUGUACAUGAUAUGAGAUGGUUAGAAGAAUUGUAUAAUUAACAGAGACUGAAAUGAUUGUGUAACUAAUAGAAAUUCGAAUCCCAAGUCAAUGCUUUGGUAUCAAUUUUGUACCCUUUGAGUGCUGUAAGUACUGACCAUAUUCCAUUGCCACGACCAUAGGAAUCAUGCAGAUACUUUUGUGUUCAAGUUAUUUCUUGUUCAUGAAAAAUUAAAUAGAAUGUGAAAAACGGUGUAAAAAAUAUAUAAUUUCCUUAUUA